Molecule: long non-coding RNA, 3788 nt
Organism: Saccostrea echinata
Lineage: Eukaryota; Metazoa; Mollusca; Bivalvia; Ostreida; Ostreidae
Exons: 2
Source: RefSeq, a predicted model, not a curated record
AUACGGUUAGCAAUAUAAUUUUGAACGGAUUGUUAUUUAAUUAAUGCACAUUGUCAGCUAAAUUCUUUGAGCUUCAUAAUAAAGAUAAACGUGUGAUUGAAUUGGGGUAAACACACGCUAAUUAUAGAUGCUAUUGUUUGUAGGUCACAGGUAACCGCCUUCAAACUGACUGCAUGGCCAAUGUUUUUACAACAAUUAACACGAAUGCAAGAUAAGUGUGAAAAUGUCGUUUCUUGAAAAAUUAUCGUCCGGAUAAACGAGUCACUUUUCAAUGAACUAUUAUGUUUUGUAGUAGAAAUUGACAGUCCGGAUACGGAACGCGAAUUUUUCCGGAUUAAUGAGACAAAAUAACAUGGAAAAAUCGGUUCCCAAAAAAUAUCGUCCGGAUGGUGAAGCGUCCGGAUAAAUGGCGUCCGGAUAAACGCGGCGCCACUGUACAUAGAGUCACAUGCCCUAAAUAGUGAAAUCAGUAUGUAUCAAAUUCAGAUAUCAUAUUACUUAACAUGGAAAUGCAAUAAUUUUAUAAACAUUUUUGCAAUCAUAUUUUCAAGUUUAUUCUGUAAAUUUUAAAUACCAAGAAUUGUGCUAGUCAGUAAUUGUAUCAUUUUAUCUGUGAUUUAAAUGUUCCAGUUAAUUAUGCUGUCCUUUUCAACCACCUUCAAAGACCUUUUAAAUUUUUGUAUAUUUUUUUAUUCUUUAAGAAAUUUGCAUUUUAUGUGUCUGAUGUGUAUUAAUUGGAGUUGAAAACUCAACAUAUCAGCACUUUUUGAUGAUCAUUUCACCAAAGAAGUUUUGAAUCAUAGAAUUAAAAAGCGAAUAAGAUACAGUGAUUCUGUGAAACAUUUAACCAAUUGUGAGACGUUGGAAAAAACAUAAUGUUUGCAGUCCUUAUACCAACUAGUAUUUUGACACCAAACUUUCAUCAGUAUCAUAAAAUGUAUUUAGUAUUCAGAUGUUGACUACCCAUAGAUAAAUACACAUAUUUAUAACCAGGUUUACAGAUGGAGAUGAGUUUUGUUGUAAUGUUGUCAUUCUUGCAAGCCACUGGAUUUUAAUUCACUAUUGCUGUUUUAGACAGAUCCUGCUUGAUGCUGCAAUGAGUAGCAGAUUAAAAAACCUUGGCUUGCAACACUGUAUUUGAAUUUAUCAGAAUGGAAUCAGUUUCUAACAUUUUAUGUGUGAUUUUAAUACAAAUUUCUUUCAAAUUUUUGAAAGUAAUUCAGAACUAUCAGCUUAUUUGUUUAUAACCGACUAUUAUUUUUGACAACUUUUAUUCACAACUGGUCAGUUUGAAAUCCAACUGCAACAACUAAUUUUCAUAACUUAAGAUACAUUCUAUGUAAAUACUCCUUUAAGGAAAAGGUUCACAUUCAGAAAUAUUCCCUAGUAAAAGAAUGUAGCAAAAAUCAUGGAUAUUUCUGGCACAUGAUUAAAAGUUGGUUUACAGUAUCUCCCUCAGAAUGUCCUGGAACCUCCGUCUUGUUUGCUUUACAGUAGUGUUACAUUAAUGUUUAUCAUUAUCAUCUAUACAUUAAUGUUUAUCAUUAUCAUCUACAAUGUAAUGUUUAUCAUAAUUAUUUAACGGUAAUGUUUAUUUUGCAUCAUUUCAAGAUUUGUUUCUUUCAUAAAAUUCUGAGAUGCUUUUUCUUUAGUAAUGUUCUGGAGGCUUGAUUGUGUAUAUGUAGUGUUUAUGUUCUGCAAUUUUACAUUAUGAUGUAUUGUUGUCCCAUGUGAUACAUUACUCGUGGCCAUGAUGUUUUUAUUUUUGUACACUUGAGGAAGUGGUUUUGAUCGUUGUUAUUUCAAGAUAAUUCAUGUUUUUACAAUUAAGUUGUCUUAAAUUAAGUUUGGUAAAUAUUUAUCAACAGGUGAUAAUGACAAUUUUGAAAUAUUAAAAUUAGUUUAGUUAUCUAAGUAUAUACAUACAAACAGUGUUUAAUGGGAUGGAUUUUGCAACAUUGUAUAUUAUGUAGGUUUAUUAAAGUCCAGAAGUAGUCUGUUGUUCAUAUGUAAAUGAUGAUUUUUUUUUUUUUUUUGUUUUCAUUAGAGACAGCAAAGAAUGUCAACUGACUGUACUUAUUUGUGUAUGUUCCCUGUCGCUACAAAGCUAACAUGAUCUAUGUGCACAUGCUAUAGAAGGAGUAGAUCAUUUGGCAACACUCUGAGGUUAUAAUUUUUUUUUUUUUUCUAUUAUUUUAUCGAAUAUCAAUGAAUUUUCUUCGUAAGGUAACAUUACUGAACCCUGCAGUUCUAAAACUUUAAAUAUGUUAAUGCAAAAGCCUUUGUACUAUGAAUUAAACAUGGUAUGGCCAUAAGAGACCUGCUUAAAGGGAACAAAGUAGGAUGGCUGAGAUUUUUUUUCUUUGUUUUUUUAUGUCAGAUAUAUAUGGAUAUACAUGUAGUACCCUCUGCAUUUUCAUUACCUUCGACCCCCCCUCAAGAAAACCCUCGCACAGUCUGCAUAUAAAUUUUGACUACAGAAUGCAAGUUUGAGUAUUUGAACAUGAAUUAAACCCAAUGUUCUUAUUUUUUAACUGUUUGAUGAAAGAAAUUUUGUCAUUUUCUUGGCAUGUGUAACACUAUGAUUUUAACAAUGUUGUUGUAUAUUUCUGAAGUGUAACAUGUUUUUAUGUUGUUGUUUUUUUUAUGACCAUUAUUUUGAUUUGUGUAAUAAUCAUUCUAACCAGAACCACCCAUGUGUACAAUAGUAAUGAUAAUCUAACAGUCAGACAGAUCAAUUGACAGUUGUAUUUAUGACAUGUAUUUAGUUUUAUUUAUUUAAUCUGUUGAGCUUUAGAAAUCAGACAGUUCAGUUUACAGUUAUGACAUGUAAUUAGUGUUAUUUAUUUAAUCUGUUAAGCUUUGGCUUAAUCAUUUUCAGAAGACUAUAUCUCGUAUGUUGUUUUUAUACUGCUGUUUAAGUUUUCUGUGUUGACGCUAUGUUAAGGCUGGCUUCCUGCUGUAACGGCCUUUGUCCUAGGUUGAAUUUUUCUUUGUAUCUCCUUUAUGGUCAAACUAAAAAAAAAAAUCCCUUCACUUGAAAAAAAAUCAUCACUUUCUCUCUGAACAGAAGUAUUUGAUUAUUGCAAAUUACUGUUAGAUAAUUGAUAGUUAUUGUAUGAAAUAUUUCUCUUCCAUGUUACUUUCCUGCAUGCCAUCUUGGAGGUGAAACUGGUGAAUUUAAACAUUUGUGGCAGAAAUACAUGUAUAUGGGAAAAAAUCUUUAAAAUACUUAAAUUAUGUUUGAAGGAGGCUUUAACAAAUAUAUUCACUGGAAAAAUUGUUAUGUACACCUUAUGUCGAGCAUGACAAGUUUUAAUAAAUUGGUUGACUGUAAAGGAAUCUCAGGGCUUGUUGACCUCCAAUAUUGUGAGCAAUGAGAAACAACUCUUGCUGAAAUAGCAUGUCAAAAUCUACAUUUAGUGCUUUCAUAGCUUGUAAAGGAGAACAGUGAAGUAUUAAUGGAGGCCUAGAACAUGCUGUGUGUUUUGUAAAUGGUUGUGGUAUUCAUAAGGUAUCAACAUUCCUGUAAUAAAACUACCUGGUGUGCUGGCUUGUAAAAUAAAAUGCCAUAGAACAUAUGGUAUGGGAUAUCAUCUCUCCAUGAUGUCUUUUGUAUAAUAUCAGGCAAAUAUAUACAUGUCAUUUAUUUUUAUGUGACUUGAUAUUAUUAUUAUAACUGUGAGUUACAUAUGUUGUUUUUGUCAUUCCUGUAAUUAUAACUAAUGACUCCAUUACUGCCACUGAUGCUUAAGUUAAAAAGGAUGAUUAAAUGGCUAAAGCACAAA